RNAcentral lists this ribosomal RNA (522 nucleotides) under uncultured archaeon. Its description in RNAcentral is "bacterial SSU rRNA". It matches the Rfam family "Archaeal small subunit ribosomal RNA", at positions 1 to 511 of the family's 1478-position model. The record is from RNAcentral.
AUCGCCUUCUGGUGAUCCUGCCGGCUGCCACGGUUAUAGGAAUUCGAUUAAGACAUGUUGAGAUCUAUUACCUUAUGGACUCGGCGGACUGCUCAGCAAAAAGUACGACAACGUGCCCUUAAGUGGGGGAAAAUCUCGGGAAAUUGAGGAUACACAUCCGUAGAGGUGAUAGCAUCUGGAAUGAGCUAUGGUUCAAAGUUCCGGCGCUUAAGGAUCGGUCUGCGGCCUAUCAGGUAGUAGUGGGUGUAAUGUACCUACUAGCCUAUGACGGGUAUGGGCCUUGAGAGAGGGAGCCCAGAGUUGGAUUCUGAGACACGAAUCCAGGCCCUACGGGGCGCAGCAGUCGCGAAAAACUUCACAAUGGGGGGCAAACCCCGAUGAGUUAAUUCCUAGUGCUAGCUCUUUUUGAGUUAGCUUUUUCUUUAGCGUAGAUAACUAGAAGGAAUAAGGGCUGGGUAAGACGGGGUGCCAGCCGCCGCGGUAAUACCUGCAGCCCAAGUGGUGGUCGAUUUUAUUGAGUCU